GAGGGUAUAGCUCAGCAGUAGAGUGCAUGCUUAGCAUGCACAAGGUCCUGGGUUCAAUCCCCAGUACCUCCA
RNAcentral lists this transfer RNA (72 nucleotides) under Camelus bactrianus (Bactrian camel). It matches the Rfam family "tRNA". From Rfam's summary of the family: Transfer RNA (tRNA) molecules are approximately 80 nucleotides in length. Their secondary structure includes four short double-helical elements and three loops (D, anti-codon, and T loops). RNAcentral also lists the same sequence under 2 other names. The record is from Rfam by way of RNAcentral. Lineage: Eukaryota; Metazoa; Chordata; Mammalia; Artiodactyla; Camelidae.